Mya arenaria is the source of this 612-nucleotide long non-coding RNA. RefSeq lists it as uncharacterized. NCBI's taxonomy places the organism in Eukaryota, Metazoa, Mollusca, Bivalvia, Myida, Myidae. The record is from RefSeq and is a predicted model, not a curated record. The transcript has 4 exons.
ACUAAAUAAUUUGGUUGGUGUUAAAACCGGUACCCAGUAUCGAUAUUGGGAAAAGCCAGUAACAGAGUUUAUGAUACUGGAUUAUGUUGAUACCGUUUUUUUUUGGCACAGUUGGUACAUCAGUACAGAUAAGUUUAAGAUCUUGACAUGGAUCCAAGAUGCUGGUAACUAGGCGGGACGGAUUGUUACACAGAACUGCAGGUUUCUGGAUGGCGACGGGAAAUCCAAUCAAGAAAACCCUGUCCCUCAAGCAGCUACUGUAUUUAACCAGCUCACACCAGCUAGGCCUCCUCCAAAACUCAGAUAAAUAUUUGAGCCACCAAAAAACGAGAACAGAUCGGUCUGAAUCGUUAUUAAGAACUGAAGCUAACAUCAUAGAGGUACAUCCUUCCAAGAAUCCAUCAAAACAACAUGCUGAACAACUUCAAGAACUCUCUUCAAAAGACCAUACUUUCCUGAAAUAAAUAAAUUUAAAAAGAUGCCAAUAUUAAAAUAAAUCAGUUACAUGUAUUGCUAAAUAUUUUAAUACUAGCUGUAAAUGCUACUGCCUUUGAUGUUUGCUUUCUACAUGUAUAUCAUAAUGAAAUAUUGACAAGAUAAUAGCUAAUGUUU